Molecule: long non-coding RNA, 638 nt
Organism: Myotis brandtii (Brandt's bat)
Lineage: Eukaryota; Metazoa; Chordata; Mammalia; Chiroptera; Vespertilionidae
Exons: 3
Source: RefSeq, a predicted model, not a curated record
AGUAACGCGCACGGGCCUCUGUUUGGUUCCAGCAGAAACGAAAGCCCGGAAGGCGGAUUCUGAAGGCAGAGAGUGCUGAGAAGACACGGAGGCCCUUGAGUGGCGUGGGGAGGAGAAUGGGGUGCAAGUAGGGGCAACUCAGGGUGGAGAGGCGCACUGGGGCUGGGGUGGGCUGAUUUUCCUUACAGGAGUGAGCGGAGUGUCUUCUGCUCUCCUGGGACUGGCUGCUCACAGCAGGUGGGUUGCAUCCUGGCUGCGCAUCAGGGACAUUCAGAGCAGCUCCCUACUCUGACCUGGGACUCCAACCUGAGGGAGCAGGUAAAGUUCGUCAUCAGGUCACGGGAGAGCUGAAUCAUGUUCUUGUGAUCCCAAUGGUUUCCCAAUUAUCCUCGGGACCAAGAGAACAUCGGGCGGGUGGAGAGGAUGAAGGGCAAGGUCUCUGGAAGUGGGAGAGAUAAGAGAUGCUGGCAGAGCGGGGGUUGGAUAAAGGAACAGUAAUUAUGAAGUAACUCUCAAAAGACAAACCACUGAGCCUAUGGAAGGAAGGAAGGGAAAGGGAAUGAUGGUGAUCCUCCCUACAGAGGCGCUGGGCUAGGAGUGUCCCUCUGUAGGAGCAGGUCCAUAGUGAUCGGGAAGGU